This 5650-nucleotide long non-coding RNA is filed under the name Homo sapiens (human). RNAcentral describes it as "PREDICTED lncRNA (TCONS_00237331)". The record is from RNAcentral. Lineage: Eukaryota; Metazoa; Chordata; Mammalia; Primates; Hominidae.
CAGACAUUUUAUUUAUUUUAUUUUUAUUUGCUGUAGAGAUGAGGUCUCACCAUGUUGCCCGGGCUGGUUUCAAACUCCUGGCCCCAGGCAGUCCUCCCACAGGGAAACUCAGACAUUGUAAUAACUGCUGGCAAGCAUGGACAAAGGAAAUUCAUAAACACACCUAGAUUAACAGUCAUUUUAAUACUGAGGUAGUCAGUGUUUUCACAGAAUUACAGGUAAAGAUGGUAACCACGUUUUCAUUCCUGAGUUAAACAAGAAAGUACUCACGUGGCAUGAUAAAGAAUCCCUCCUCUAAACCAAUAACCAACAUCAAAAUUAGCAGUGGAAUCAUAAAGUCAUGUGUGAUAGAUGUUUCCAUUAAUGUCCCAGUAAGUCAGACUUUCCAGCAUCCGUGCUCUUGCUAGUUCCCUCCCAUAUUGACGUUGGUUUGGCUUUUGCUUUGCCUUUUGACCUCUUCUACAUCCCCUCAUUCACUCUGCUACUGCUAAACAGGUUAGCGGUGUCAGAAGGGUCUUCCCUCUAUCUGUUCGGUGCCUGGAACAUUCUUGCCCAGAUAUUUGCAUAGGAGCACAGCUGGCUCCCUCAUCUUUUAUUCAGGUCACCUCACGAGGCCACUCCUGUCUAUUUUAAAGCUGCAAGCUUCUUGGUUGCAGUUUUUUUUUCUUUUUGAGACAGGGUCUUGCUCUGUCACCCAGGCUGGAGUGCAGUGGCAUGAUCACGGCUCACUGCAGCCUCAACCCCCCAGGCUCAUGUGAUCCUACCACUUUGGCCUCCAGAGUAGCUGGGACUACAGGUAUAGGCCACCACGCCUGGCUAAUGUUUGUAUUUUUAGUAGAGGUGGGGUUUCACCACCAGAGGUGGGGUUGCCCAGGCUGGUCUCAAACUCCUGACCUCAGGUGAUCAGCCCGCCUCGGCCUCCCAAAGUGCUGGGAUUACAGGUGUGAGCCACCACACCCAGCCAGUCCUCUUUGUCUUAACCUUCACAAGGAAACUUUGAAAUGAUACCCACUUUUUGUUACUGCUUUCCUCAGGCCUUUUCUGUCUUUAAAACCAACCUCUUCUGCUCAGCUUAUUGAACGCUCAUUGUGGGGCCAGGGGCCUAAACUCAUGCCUGUAAUCCCAGCACUUUGGGAGGCCAGGGUUGGCAGAUUGCUUGAGUCCAGGACUUCGAGACCAGCCAGGGCGACAUGGCAAAACCUUGUCUCUACAAAAAAAACUAGCUCUACCCCAAAAACUAGCUGAGUGUGGUGGCACACACCUACCAUCCCAGCUACUGGGGAGGCUGAGGCAAAAGGAUCACUUUAGCCAGGGAGUUGGAGGCAGGAGUGUGCUGAGAUUGCAAUACUGUGCUCCAGCCUGGGCAACAGUGAGACCAUAUCUCAAAAAAAGAGGAAACACUCAUUCUGUUUCACAGAAUGGUUUAGAGAAUGGUGUGUUGCCUGAUUCUAUGAUCACAAGUCAGUUAAGAUCUUUAAAGUAAAUAUUAUUGUCUUUUGGUAAUAGCAAUUAUCACCAUGUAAUGUACUACUUUAAAUUUAUUGUUUAUUGGCUCCUCCACCUCCUCAGCACAGGUACUUUGUGUUUGUUUUCUCAUUUUUUUUUUUUGAGACAGAGUUUCGCUCUUGUUGCCCAAGCUGGAGUGCAAUGUCGUGAUCUCGGCUCACUGCAACCUGUUUCCUGGGUUCAAGUGAUUCUCCUGCCUCAACCUCCCAAGUAGCUGGGAUUACAGGCAUGUGCCACCACGCCCAGCUAAUUUUGUAUUUUUAGUAGAGACAGGGUUUCUCUCUGUUGGUUCUGCUGGUCUCUAACUACUGACCUCAGGUGAUCCGCCCGCCUCUGCCUCCCAAAGUGCUGGGAUUACAGGCGUGAGCCACCGCACCCAGCCAUACUUUUGUUUUAUACUCUGUUGUACCCUCAGCCUAGCACACAUUAGGCACCUAGGAAGAAUUUGAGAAACGAAUCAAUUAAUCUCCACUUUACCAAUAAUGAGCAAGAACAGAAAUUAGGGCCGGGCGCGGUGGCUCACGCCUGUAAUCCCAGCAUUUUGGGAGACCAAGGCAGGUGGAUGAUUUGAGGUCAGGAGUACUAGACUAGACUGGCCAAUAUGAUGAAACCCUGUCUCUAGUAAAAAUACAAAAAUUAGCCGGGUGCGGAGGCUCACACCUGUAAUCCUAGCACUUUGGAAGGCCAAGGCGGGCGGAUCACUUGAGGUCACGAUUCCAAACCAGCCUGGCCAACAUGGUGAAACCCCGUCUCGACUAAAAAUACGAAAAAAUUAGCUGGGCAUGGUGGCGGGCGCCUAUAAUUCCGGCUACUCGAGAGGCUGAGGUGGGAGAAUCGCUUGAACCUAGGAGGCGGAGUUUGCAGUGAGCCGAGAUCACACCACUGCACUCCACUCUGGGUGACAGAGCGCGACUGUCUCAAAAAAGAAAAAAAGAAGACUGAAAAAUUGGGCAACCUGUCCAAGAACACCACAGCGACAAUUAGCAAAGCUGGGAUUCCAACCCAGGUCUAUCUAAGAGCCACAGCAUUGUAUUUUCUUUUCUUUCUUUCUGUGACUGCACCUUUCACCAUAGAUGGCAUCCAGGACUCAGAGCAAUCAGCAUGUAGCUACUGUUUUUAAUAUUCCUUACAUGGGAAUCACAUAAAGAAAGUAAACAGUAUCCAAUUUGUGACUCAACCAUUCAUACUUUGUGACACUGGUUAAUUAUUUCACUUCUGGGUCUCAGUUACGCUUUUUUUUUUUUUUUUUCUUUUUGAGACAGGGUCUCGCUCUGCUCUGUCACCCGGGCUGGAGUUCAGUGGAGGGAUCUCUGCACCCUCAACUUCCUGGGCUAUCAAGCGAUCCUCCCACCUCAGCCUCCCCAGUAGUUGGGACCACAGGUGCCCGCCAUCAUGCCCGGCUGAUUUGUAAAAUUUCUUUUGUAGAGAUGGGGGCUCUCCCUCUGUGGCCCAGGGUGGUCUCGAACUCCUGGCCUCAAGCGAUCCUCCUGCCUGGGCCUCCUAAAGAUUCAGCUGCUUUUGGAUCAAACGAUUGGCUUAAGACCCUUUAACUCGAACACCUGUCACAUCCUAGGAUCCGCGAAGGACUGAAACAGAGUUUCUGAAGCGUCCCUCGGCGCAGUGGCUCCGCUCCACCUCCCAUUCGCGCUUCCACCGUGGCCUCGGCUCCAGGAGUCGCCGCGGUGCCGGCGUCGCCCUCCCGCUGCUGCGCAUCGGGAGCCGGAAGUAGGGACUGAGCCACAGACUAGGAAACGUUGGUUUCUCCGGGGCUCCCCAGCGCCCCAGCUUUAGCGCGGAGGCUACCCUCUUCUAUUUGCUCUUGGGCGUCAGAGCGGCACCCUACUCUGUGUAAGCCUUUGGAUCCCGCUCGCACUUCCUCCCGUCAUCAGCCAAAGGCCCCGGAAGUGAUGUUUGCGCGCCGUGCGUUACGGGCGUGCGCUGGCGGUGCCGGGGGGGCGGGGCAAGCAGGGGGUGUGUGUGAGGCUGGAGCGGACUGGGGAACCCAGACCUGCCGAGCGACGUGGGCGAGCGGUGACCUGGACCACGGCGCAGACGCGGGCGAGCUGCGGCUCGGACGCCAGCGGACACGCGGGCGAGGGCCUUGGGAACUCCAAGACAGAAUGGCCCGAGGCCUGGACACUCUCUGAGGACAUCUCUGCAAAGGCCCCAGCGGCCCAGGCCAGUGGGAUGCGGGCUGCUGGCCCUGUCCAGACUCUCAUACUGUGGGGCAGGGUUGCAGAGGCCCCUCCCUGGGUUUGCUCUGGGGUGGCAGAGAGCCAUUGUGAGUCAGUUCAGUGUGGUGGGCAGCGCUGUCUUGCAGCCCAAGGAAGCCGUCCUGGAGGAGGGAGCCUGACCCUCCAGCUGGGCUUGAAUGAGGAAGAGGCUAGAUAGAGGCCUGGCAGUGGGGCAGGGGUGGGGACUGUUUGUGAGCAGCCGUGUGGCAGGUAUGAUAGGAAGAAGGACUGGAGGGGUAGACAGGCACUGCCAUCCAUAGCCUGGAAAGUGUCACCAACAGGGCAGGAUUUCAUCCGAGAAGUAACAGGGAGGCUGGGCACAGUAGCUCAGGCCUGUAAUCUCCACGCUUUCAGAGGCUGAGGCAAGAAGAUGGCUUGAGCCCAGGCGCUUGAGACUAGCCUAGGCAACAUAGCGAGACCUCCACCUCUGCAAAAAAAUUUAAAAAAUUAGCCAGGCAUGGUGGCGCACACCAGUAGCCCCAGCUACUAGGGAGGCUGAGAUGGGAGGAUCUGAGCCCAGGAGGUUGAGGCUGCAGGGAGCUGUGAUUGUACCAGCACACUCCAGCCUGGAGGACAGAGCGAGACUCUGACUCUUUUUUUUUUUUUUUUUUUAAUUUUUUGAGACAGAGUUUCGCCCUUCUUGCCCAGGCUGGAGUGCAAUGGUGUAGUCUCAGCUCACUGUAACCUCCACCUCCUGGGUUCAAGCAAUUCUCCUGCCUCAGCCACCCAAGUAGCUGGGAUUACAGGUGCCUGCCACCACCCCCAGCUAAUUUUUGUAUUUUUAGUAAAUACAAGGUUUCACCAUGUUGGCCAGGCUGGUCUUGAACUCACGACCUCAGGGAUCCACCCACCUCAGCCUCAUUUAUAUUGAUUUGUAGGAGCUAUUUAUAGAUUCUGGAUACAAGUUCUUUAUCAGAUAUAUGGUUUGUGACUAUUUUCUUAUAAGUCUGUGGUUUGUUUAUUAAUUUUUUUAUUGAUGACUGUUUUUAAAAAUUGUGGUUAAGUAUACAUGACAUAAAACGGAUCAUCUUAACCAUUUUCAAAUGUAAAAUUCAGUGGCAUUAAGUACAUCCACAAUAUUGUGCAAAUAUCAUCACUACCAUCAACUCAAAAAGGGCAGGGCAUCCAAUACCCAUUAAGCUGUCACUCCCCAAUCUCCCAUUUUCCCAGCCCUGACAAUCACUAAUCCACUUUCUGUCUAUAUGGAUUUGCCUAUUUGGAUAUUCAUAUUAAUAGAAUCAACAGUAGGUCACUUUUUGUGUUUAGCUUUUUUCACUUGGCAUAAUGUUUUCAAGGUUCAUGCACUUUGCAGAAUGUAUCAAAAUUUCAUUCCUCUUUAGGGUUGGAUAAUAUUUCAUUGUAUGGAUAGACCACAAUUUGUUUAUCCAUUCAUCCAUUGGUGGAUAUUUGGGUGGCUUCCACCUUCUGGCUAUUGUUUUGUUUGUGUGUGUGUGUGUGUGUGUGUGUGUGUGUGUGUGUGUGUGUCAGCUCCUUUAGGGUCUGACUUUUGGGUAUUUUGAAUAGUACCUCUGUGAACCUUCAUCUACAAGUUUUUGUGUGAACUCAUGUUUUCAGUUCUCUUGGGUAUAUAUCUAGGAGUGGAAAUACUGGGUCACAGGGCAAUUCUAUGCUUUUUGAGGAGCUGCCACACUGUUUUUCACGGAGGCUGCACCAUUUUGGAUUCCCACCAGCAACAUAUGAGAACUCCGAUUUCUCCAGACCCUCAACAAAAUUUAUCUUUCAUUUUUUGAUUAUAGUCAUCUUCAUGGGUAUGAAGUGGUGUCUUAUUGUGGUUUUCACUUACAUUUCACUAAUGAUUAAUGAUGUUGAACAGAUUUUCAUGUGCUUUUUGCCAAUUUGUAUUUUUUCCUUAUAGAAAUGUCUAUUCAAGUCUUUUGUCAAUAUUUUCA